CUGCAACUCGCCUGCAUGAAGUCGGAAUUGCUAGUAAUCGUGGAUCAGCAUGCCACGGUGAAUACGUUCCCGGGCCUUGUACACACCGCCCGUCACACCAUGGGAGUCGGUAACACCCGAAGCCUGUGAGCUAACCUUUCAGGAGGCAGCAGUCGAAGGUGGGGUUGAUGAUUGGGGUGAAGUCGUAACAAGGUAGC
RNAcentral lists this ribosomal RNA (197 nucleotides) under uncultured bacterium. Its description in RNAcentral is "partial 16S ribosomal RNA". It matches the Rfam family "Bacterial small subunit ribosomal RNA", at positions 1305 to 1500 of the family's 1533-position model. The record is from RNAcentral.